CCUACGGGCGGCUGCAGUGAGGAAUAUUGGUCAAUGGGCGUAAGCCUGAACCAGCCAAGUCGCGUGAGGGAUGAAGGUGCGAUGGAUCGUAAACCUCUGUUAUAAGGGAAUAAAGUGCGGGACGUGGCCCGUUUUGUAUGUACCUUAUGAAUAAGGAUCGGCUAACUCCGUGCCAGCAGCCGCGGUAAUACGGAGGAUCCGCGCGUUAUCCGGAUUUAUUGGGGUUAAAGGGUGCGUAGGCGGCCUUUUAAGUCAGCGGUGAAAGUCUGUGGCUCAACCAUAGAAUUGCCGUUGAAACUGGGAGGCUUGAGUAUGUUUGAGGCAGGCGGAAUGCGUGGUGUAGCGGUGAAAUGCUUAGAUCUCCCGCAGAACCCCGAUUGCGAAGGCAGCCUGCCAAGCCAUGACUGCCGCUGAUGCACGAACGCGUGGGGAUCAAACAGGAUUAGAUCCCCCGGUAGUC
Molecule: ribosomal RNA, 460 nt
Filed under: uncultured bacterium
Lineage: Bacteria
Description: partial 16S ribosomal RNA
Rfam family: Bacterial small subunit ribosomal RNA
Source: RNAcentral